This 64-nucleotide transfer RNA is filed under the name Xiphydria sp. ZJUH 2008002. Its description in RNAcentral is "tRNA-Cys". The record is from RNAcentral. Lineage: Eukaryota; Metazoa; Arthropoda; Insecta; Hymenoptera; Xiphydriidae.
AAUUUUGUAGUUAAAGAUAAUAUUAAAUUGCAAAUUUAAAGUUAAUAAAAUAAAUUCAAAAUUU